AACAAGGAAUCCCCUAGUAACGGCGAGUGAACCGGGAAAAGCUCAAAUUUGAAAUCAGGCGUCCUCAGGGCGUUCGAGUUGUAAUCUAUAGAGGCGUUUUCCGUGCCGGACCGUGUCCAAGUUCCUUGGAACAGGGUAUCAAAGAGGGUGACAAUCCAGUACUUGCCACGACUACCGGUGCUCUGUGAUACGUCUUCCCGACUCGAGUUGUUUGGAAAUGCAUCUCAUAAUGGGUGGUGAGUUCCCUCUAAAUCUAAAUAUUGGAGAGAGACCGAUAGCAAACAAGUACCGUGAGGGAAAGAUGAAAAGCUCUUUGAAAAGAGAGUUAAACACUACGUGAAAUUGUUGAAAGGAAAACUAUUGACGUCCUUCGUGACCGAGAGGCUCCGCCGGCUCUGCCGGUGUAUUCCCCUCGGUCGGGACAACAUCAGUUUUGUCCGGUGGAUUUCGGCUGUAGGAAGGUGGCCCCCACGGGUGUGUUAUAGCCUGCCGUCACAUACACUGGGUGAGACUGAGGAAUGCAGCUCGCCUUUAUGGCCGGUGUUCGCCCACGUCCGAGCUUAGGAUGUUGACAUAAUGGCUUUACACGACCCGUCUUGAAACACGGAC
Molecule: ribosomal RNA, 609 nt
Filed under: Papiliotrema laurentii
Lineage: Eukaryota; Fungi; Basidiomycota; Tremellomycetes; Tremellales; Rhynchogastremaceae
Description: eukaryotic LSU rRNA
Rfam family: Eukaryotic large subunit ribosomal RNA
Source: RNAcentral